CCUACGGGUGGCUGCAGUGGGGAAUCUUGCGCAAUGGCCGAAAGGCUGACGCAGCGACGCCGCGUGUGGGAUGACGGUCUUCGGAUUGUAAACCACUGUCGGGAGGGACGAAGUUCUGAAGGUACCGCCAAAGGAAGCACCGGCUAACGCUGUGCCAGCAGCCGCGGGAAUACAGAGGGGGCGAGCGGUGUCCGGAAUCACUGGGCGUAAAGGGCGCGUAGGCGGCCUGGUAAGUCGGGGGUGAAACGCUGCGGCUCAACCGCAGCACUGCCUUCGAGACUGUCAGGCUGGAGCACGGUAGAGGCUGUUGGAAUUCCCGGUUUAGCGGUGGAAUGCGUAGAGAUCGGGAAGAACAUCGGUGGCGAAGGCGGCCAGCUGGGCCGUUGCUGACGCUGAGGCGCGACAGCGUGGGGAGCAAACAGGAUUAGAUACCCUAGUAGUC
This 442-nucleotide ribosomal RNA is filed under the name uncultured bacterium. RNAcentral's name for it is "partial 16S ribosomal RNA". It matches the Rfam family "Bacterial small subunit ribosomal RNA", at positions 338 to 795 of the family's 1533-position model. The record is from RNAcentral.